Molecule: ribosomal RNA, 380 nt
Filed under: uncultured bacterium
Lineage: Bacteria
Description: bacterial SSU rRNA
Rfam family: Bacterial small subunit ribosomal RNA
Source: RNAcentral
GACGAACGCUGGCGGCAUGCUUUAUACAUGCAAGUCGUGCGGCAGCGCGGGGCAACCUGGCGGCGAGCGGCGAACGGGUGAGUAAUACAUAGGAACGUAUCCUGAAAUGGGGAUAGCUCGGCGAAAGCCGGAUUAAUACCGCAUACGCUCCACGGAGGAAAGCAGGGGAUCGCAAGACCUUGCGUUUCUGGAGCGGCCUAUGUCUGAUUAGCUAGUGGCGGGGUAAUAGCCCACCAAGGCGACGAUCAGUAGCUGGUCUGAGAGGAUGAUCAGCCACACUGGGACUGAGACACGGCCCAGACUCCUACGGGAGGCAGCAGUAGGGAAUUUUGGACAAUGGGGGCAACCCUGAUCCAGCCAUGCCGCGUGAGUGAAGAAGG